GAGAGACAGAGAGCUAUUUCAUGUGUAGCCCAUGAAAUUGAUAGAAUGAUAAGAAAAGUGAGUUCUCCUAAACU
This is a non-coding RNA of Pangasianodon gigas (Mekong giant catfish), 74 nucleotides long. Lineage: Eukaryota; Metazoa; Chordata; Actinopteri; Siluriformes; Pangasiidae. The record is from the annotation of a GenBank genome assembly.